This 632-nucleotide ribosomal RNA is filed under the name Bacillus thaonhiensis. Its description in RNAcentral is "bacterial SSU rRNA". It matches the Rfam family "Bacterial small subunit ribosomal RNA", at positions 802 to 1429 of the family's 1533-position model. The record is from RNAcentral. Lineage: Bacteria; Bacillati; Bacillota; Bacilli; Caryophanales; Bacillaceae.
GUAACCGAUGAGUGCUAAGUGUUAGGGGGUUUCCGCCCCUUAGUGCUGCAGCUAACUAGCUAAGCACUCCGCCUGGGGAGUACGGCCGCAAGGCUGAAACUCCCAGGAAUUGACGGGGGCCCGCACAAGCGGUGGAGCAUGUGGUUUAAUUCGAAGCAACGCGAAGAACCUUACCAGGUCUUGACAUCCUUUGACAACUCUAGAGAUAGAGCGUUCCCCUUCGGGGGACAGAGUGACAGGUGGUGCAUGGUUGUCGUCAGCUCGUGUCGUGAGAUGUUGGGUUAAGCCCCGCAACGAGCGCAACCCUUGAUCUUAGUUGCCAGCAUUUGACUGGGCACUCUAAGGUGACUGCCGGUGACAAACCGGAGGAAGGUGGGGGAUGACGUCAAAUCAUCAUGCCCCUUAUGACCUGGGCUACACACGUGCUACAAUGGACGGUACAAAGGGUCGCGAGACCGCGAGGUGGAGCUAAUCUCAUAAAACCGUUCUCUGUUCGGAUUGUAGGCUGCAACUCGCCUACAUGAAGCCGGAAUCGCUAGUAAUCGCGGAUCACAAUGCCACGGGUGAAUACGUUUCCCGGGCCUUGUACACACCGCCCGUCACACCACGAGAGUUUGCAACACCCGACUGAG